Molecule: ribosomal RNA, 253 nt
Filed under: uncultured bacterium
Lineage: Bacteria
Description: partial 16S ribosomal RNA
Rfam family: Bacterial small subunit ribosomal RNA
Source: RNAcentral
UACGGAGGAUUCGAGCGUUAUCCGGAUUUAUUGGGUUUAAAGGGUGCGUAGGCGGUCGGAUAAGUUAGAGGUGAAAUCCCGGGGCUCAACUUCGGAAUUGCCUCUGAUACUGUUCGGCUAGAGAGUAGUUGCGGUAGGCGGAAUGUAUGGUGUAGCGGUGAAAUGCUUGGAGAUCAUACAGAACACCGAUUGCGAAGGCAGCUUACCAAGCUACUUCUGACGUUGAGGCACGAAAGCGUGGGGAGCAAACAGG